RNAcentral lists this ribosomal RNA (467 nucleotides) under uncultured bacterium. Its description in RNAcentral is "partial 16S ribosomal RNA". It matches the Rfam family "Bacterial small subunit ribosomal RNA", at positions 28 to 507 of the family's 1533-position model. The record is from RNAcentral.
GACGAACGCUGGCGGCGUGCUUAACACAUGCAAGUCGAACGGAAAGGCCCUGCUUUUGUGGGGUGCUCGAGUGGCGAACGGGUGAGUAACACGUGAGUAACCUGCCCUUGACUUUGGGAUAACUUCAGGAAACUGGGGCUAAUACCGGAUAGGAGCCCCUGCUGCAUGGUGGGGGUUGGAAAGUUUCGGCGGUUGGGGAUGGACUCGCGGCUUAUCAGCUUGUUGGUGGGGUAGUGGCUUACCAAGGCUUUGACGGGUAGCCGGCCUGGAAGGUGACCGGCCACAAUGGGACUGAGAUACGGCCCAGACUCCUACGGGAGGCAGCAGUGGGGAAUAUUGCACAAUGGGCGGAAGCCUGAUGCAGCAACGCCGCGUGCGGGAUGACGGCCUUCGGGUUGUAAACCGCUUUCGCCUGUGACGAAGCGUGAGUGACGGUAAUGGGUGAAGAAGCACCGGCUAACUACGUG